Chiroxiphia lanceolata (lance-tailed manakin) is the source of this 601-nucleotide long non-coding RNA. RefSeq lists it as uncharacterized. Lineage: Eukaryota; Metazoa; Chordata; Aves; Passeriformes; Pipridae. The transcript is spliced from 7 exons. The record is from RefSeq and is a predicted model, not a curated record.
CGCCCCUCAGGGCGCGGCCCCUCGGGCACCCUCGCCCCGCUCCGCCCCGACCCCCACCCCGUGUCGGGGGUUCGCCUCCUGCGAGGGGUCGGGGGGCUGCUUGAUGCUCCCGUCCGCGGGAAUUGAGGAUUUGAGGAUUUCAGCUGUCCCCACACUGAAUCAACACCAAAAUCCAGCAUGAUAGGUGUGCCCUCUCUUCGGAGUUGCUGCCAGCUCACACCUGCUCAAAGCUGAGGAGAGGACGUUAUUUUGAGUUGCUUCGAGUGCCUGAGAAGCCUCCACCAAACCACCAAUUCCUUCAGCUGAUAUUAAAGAAUUAAUUGAAGAAUUAAUUGAGGAAUUAAUUGAAGAAUUAACUCCUGCACCCUGCAAAGCAAGAUUCAGGGUGGAGGGAUCUGCCCAGGGUUGGAUUUCUGCCUGCCAGACAAAGACCUGACAGCAUUUGUGGUGAAAUAAUCUGCUCUGUUUGCAGACUGGAGGAGAAAUCCUUUCUGUACAGCUGAGUUCCUUUGAGCCUGGUGACCCCCCAAGCCACGUGCCCACCUCCAGGAAGGGCAGAAGCUUGUUUUGGCAUGGUGCUGGAUUUCCCUGGACCAUGGAG